AACUGAUACUACCUGCGGGAACCUGCGGAAGGAUCAUUACCGAGUGCGGGCCCUCUGGGUCCAACCUCCCAUCCGUGUCUCUUGUACCCUGUUGCUUCGGCGGGCCCGCCUUCAUGGCCGCCGGGGGGCUUCUGCCCCCGGGCCCGCGCCCGCCGGAGACUCCAACAUUGAACACUGUCUGAAGGUUGCAGUCUGAGUUUUCAUAUAAGAAAAAUCGUUAAAACUUUCAACAACGGAUCU
Molecule: unclassified non-coding RNA, 240 nt
Filed under: soil metagenome
Description: partial contains 5.8S ribosomal RNA, internal transcribed spacer 2, and large subunit ribosomal RNA
Source: RNAcentral